GUGAAGUUCCUGGAGGAGGAGGAGGGGUAGCUUGGAUCUCUAACAUUCCGGCCUUUAAUAGGUCAUAAAGGAAGAGGGCAACGUUAUCAUCUGACUGCUUGUAGCUGUGGAAGGGCGGCGUAGAAGAGGAAAGGCUGGGGGUUUCGGAUGGUUGUUUUUGAAGCCAUCAGUAUUCUUGAAGAAGCAGCAUAUCUUGAACUGUCCUAUGGGUGAAGGCUUUGAUGUGGUCCUGUAAAAACUGGGAAGAUUUGGAGGAUCAUCUGAAUACCCAUCCAACAGAGAUCCAUGAUUCAUGUAUUUCUCAAGACAGCCAUACACUAAAAUUAUAAGAUCAUAAGAAUAUUAAUUAUAUUCUACCAAUGCAAUACAAGCAUUGAAAUGGAUGGCAUCUGAUCCUGCUUCAUGUGAUUCUUCAUUUAGCUCUGGACUCUUUACAUCAUUAAGGUACCCUGAAUAUAUUCAGUAUGGCUUUUUCUUUGCAGGAAUUUAAAAGCAACCCUAUGAAUAUAACAUUUGUCAAAAAGAGCAAGUGCCAAGCCAGUUGAGAAUAACCUUACAAUGUGUACAAGGAUUCCAGUUCUGCUGCUAUAUAAACCAGCCUCAAAUAGUCUGAGUCUGUGAUAUCACUGGGUCACCCCCAUCACUUCAGUAGAAGGCCUGCCACUGCCUGACAUGUGAAAGAGAGCAUCCAGGAUAAGCCACCUGUCAAACUGUCAACUUUAUGCAGAUAUACAAGUGACAGGUUUGAGAUCAGCCCAGCCCAGUCAACAGAGAAAUAUCCCAGUAGAAUCAUUAUAUAAUUAAAUAACAUUAAAAAAAAAAAAAAAAGAAAAACUAAGU
Long non-coding RNA from Homo sapiens (human), 840 nucleotides. Ensembl annotates it as long intergenic non-protein coding RNA 2064. The record is from Ensembl. NCBI's taxonomy places the organism in Eukaryota, Metazoa, Chordata, Mammalia, Primates, Hominidae.